Molecule: ribosomal RNA, 513 nt
Filed under: uncultured bacterium
Lineage: Bacteria
Description: partial 16S ribosomal RNA
Rfam family: Bacterial small subunit ribosomal RNA
Source: RNAcentral
GACGAACGCUGGCGGCGUGCUUAACACAUGCAAGUCGAACGAAAAGAGGGAAAGAGCUUGCUCUUUCCGGAAUUGAGUGGCAAACGGGUGAGUAACACGUAAACAACCUGCCUUCAGGAUGGGGACAACAGACGGAAACGACUGCUAAUACCGAAUAAGUUCCAAGGGCCGCAUGGCCCAUGGAAGAAAAGGUGGCCUCUACCUGUAAGCUAUCGCCUGAAGAGGGGUUUGCGUCUGAUUAGCUGGUUGGAGGGGUAACGGCCCACCAAGGCGACGAUCAGUAGCCGGUCGGAGAGGAUGAACGGCCACACUGGAAUUGAGACACGGUCCAGACUCCUACGGGAGGCAGCAGUGGGGAAUCUUCCGCAAUGGGCGAAAGCCUGACGGAGCAACGCCGCGUGAGUGAUGACGGCCUUCGGGUUGUAAAACUCUGUGAUCCGGGACGAAAAGGCAGAGUGCGAAGAACAAACUGCAUUGACGGUACCGGAAAAGCAAGCCACGGCUAACUACGUG